GAAUAUUGAGCAAUGGGCGCAAGCCUGACUCAGCAACGCCGCGUGGAUGAAGAAGGCCUUCGGGUUGUAAAAUCCUUUUCUGGGGGAAGAUAAUGACGGUACCCCAGGGAUAAGUUCCGGCUAACUACGUUCCAGCAUCCGCGGCAAAACGUAGGGGACGAGCGUUAUCCGGAUUUACUGGGCGUAAAGCGCAUGUAGGUGGCUUGAAAAGUUGGACGUGAAAGCUCCCGGCUUAACUGGGAGAGGUCGUUCAAAACUGGCAAGCUUGAGGUUGGAAGAGGAGAGCGGAAUUCCCGGUGUAGUGGUGGAAUGCGUAGAUAUCGGGAGGAACACCAGUGGCGAAAGCGGCUCUCUGGUUCAAUACUGACACUGAGAUGCGAAAGCGUGGGGAGCGAACGGG
Molecule: ribosomal RNA, 400 nt
Filed under: uncultured bacterium
Lineage: Bacteria
Description: bacterial SSU rRNA
Rfam family: Bacterial small subunit ribosomal RNA
Source: RNAcentral